Bemisia tabaci is the source of this 633-nucleotide non-coding RNA. Lineage: Eukaryota; Metazoa; Arthropoda; Insecta; Hemiptera; Aleyrodidae. The record is from RefSeq and is a predicted model, not a curated record.
UUGCAAUGGCAAUGAACCACAGACCACACGUUUGCAAUGUAUGUGGAGCCUCUUAUACUCACUCAUCAAAUCUAGCGAAUCACAAAAAAGCACAUACGGGUGAUACAUUCUGCAAUUUGUGUCUUAGAGUUUUUGCGACCGUCCAGUCGUAUCAGAGACAUAUGAUGCGGCACAAGACAUAGUCACCAUCAUGGAUGCCUCAUUAUUUUGGUGGCACUUUCCAGAGAAACUUUACCACCUAGAAACACUUUACCUCGCAAACUCUAGCCAACAAUGCAAAAGAGAAGCCAUGGGUAUGCGAAACUUGUGGUGCACGCUACAGACAUCGCACUAAUUUAGCCAACCAUAGGAAAGUUCACACAGGCGAAACAUACUGCGAAGAGUGCCAAAAAACAUUCGCAACGAAGCAAUCUCUGCAAAACCACAAACUCCUGACUCACAAGCAACCUUAUUGGUCCUGAUAGUGACUUUGACUUUCUGUUGUUUUUCUUACCCUGUUCUCAUAGUAGACUUUGUGAAACUUUGACUUUAUUUACUUAAAAUUACGUUAUUUUGUACUUCCGAAUGCACCUACAGUCUUUGUAUUCGGUUAAAAUCAAGUAAAAUUCUGUUGACCCUUGUUUGAAAACUUAA